Molecule: non-coding RNA, 11687 nt
Organism: Ictidomys tridecemlineatus (thirteen-lined ground squirrel)
Lineage: Eukaryota; Metazoa; Chordata; Mammalia; Rodentia; Sciuridae
Source: RefSeq, a predicted model, not a curated record
CGCGUGUCCUUCCGCACCGGCUUCCCUCCCUGGGCAGGAUGUUCCGAGGCUCCUUUUUGGAGGGGGCCACAUUUGGAAAGGUUUUGGAUUCGUCUCUGACAACCGCGUAGAGAGACAGUCACUCAGGGCAGUGCGCAGCUCUGCGGCUUGCGCGGCGAUGUGCAUCAGAGCGCUGUGACGGCAAUUAAAUUAGUUUUCGACGUUGAGAAAUCGGCUCAGGAAGUCGGGUUCCCCUCUCGGCCCCGGCCCUUGGGCUCUGGGAAGGCCCACCCACCCCCACUCACCCCUACCCUUCCUGGGCGCUCAACUGGCCCUGGAAGCGGAGCCUGGAUCCUGGUGCAGCGCAGGGGCUGGACCGAUGCGGGGCCUGAGCCGCAGCCCAGCUGACUCGCGCUGACACCAGGUGGCGUAGUGACCCGGCUGCAGGAGAACCCACGUCCUCGCUCCCACUGCCUGGUGGCUCUUUCCACCGCCUUAGUUAUCCGAGUUCCUGUGCGAAGGGGUGCGACCUUGUGCAAACGUUGGAAUACACGGACAAGGAUAUUAAAACCCCACCAUUCUGCACGCGUGAGCCGUCCCGGUUCACGUUUUAGGGUGCUGCCAGUUCUGUGGACACAGUGUUGCAAGCUUUACCUCCAGAUCAGUGGGAGCAACCUCGUGGCCUGCCUUCUUGCGACAGCAGGGUGAGGAGCCCAGAAGCCUGCCCAGGCCCCUUACUGCGCUACAGAUAAGCUGUUUCCUGUCCUUUACAAAUGGCAAUUACUGAGGCCUGAAGAGGGAGAUGAUGCACCCAAAGCUACAUGGCAGGUGGUGUGGAUGUUCCCUGGACGCACACUGCCUAUGGACAGCCAGGAGCAGGACGACUGCAGCCGCCAGUGCCGCUUCAUGCUGCCUGUCCCCGGGCGAGUCAGAGGGAAUGACAGUCCCCUAACUCUUGAAGGAAAAAAACCAACCAAGCUGUGGCAUGAACAACACCCCACCGCCACCCGUCAGGGGGUUCGAAUGAGCAUGGCGAGCCACGUCAGGCCUUGGGGGAAGCAUAGAGGUAAUAAAUACAAGUGACAAAUAUUUACAAUAGAAGCAACCAAGGGGACAUCAGUAGGCAGACCCACAGACGUUCACACACCACCGUGGCAGGGGGUAUUUGGUUAGCUCCUGAGUGCUGGAAAGAAAUGCCAGCCUGCUGUGGUGGCCGGGGCACGCUGUCACCAUGGUUUACGCCUGUUCUCAUGGCGGAGCGACAUUCAGUGCCUCCUCCCUCCCUUCGAGGGUUGAACUGGAUUAAAUGCACCAACCCUCUGCGCUCUGCACCCCAGGUCUUCUGGGUGCUUCUCCCAGCAGGUCACCCCACCUCCACCCCCAAAUGAUUUCUGUACCACGUGGACCUUGCGAGAUUGGGUUUGGGGCCUAUAAAGACCAGCUGUGUUUGGAGCAAAGAUAUUCCCUAGAAUAAAUAAAUCACUGACAUGUAGGUAAAUUGAGCUCAUCUCUGGCCUCCGAUGACUGCGAGGGAGACCGAGCUAGUGGAGAGAUCAGGGGAGAUGCAGACCCUCUGGGCCACUCCCUAGAACAGAGAUCAACAAACUGAGCCAAGUCCAGCUGGGGGCCUGUUCAACAAAACCUUCCUGGAACAGGGCCAAGCCCACUGGUCUCUGUCUGGGCUGCUUCCAGCUCUCACCGCAGGGUUGACCAGCUGCAGAGAGACAGCUCGGCCGACAAGCUGAAAAGACUGUAUUUCCUCUCUGACCCUUUACACAAAAGGUCUGCUGACCCCUGCUUUGGAAAGACCCAGGAAGCCUGGCCAGGCCUUCCAAACUGGCUCCUAUUUGAGUACGGCUAUGAGAGGGUUGGGCUUUAACUUGACAGCCUGUUGGGGAGAAAUGCCUAUCAAAGAGAUGAGCUGAAAACUGCAAGAACCACCCCCCGCCCCCCCAUGGACUUCCCUCCUGGCACAAUCCUUCCCUUCCUCAGUGAGUCCAUUUCUCCUCUCUGCCCUCUGUCCGCUUGACUCCCCUCCUUAUCGCUCACUUUCCAAAUAAGAUCUGCCCUGUGGAGGUUUCCAGCCUCACCUCCACUCAUGCUGAAGGUUAGCCGCCUUUUUUCUUUUUUUGGUAGCAGGGAUUGAACCCAGGGGUAUUUAACCGCUGAGCCACAUCCCCAGCCCUUUUUAUUUUUUAUUUUGAGAAGGGUCUUGCUAGGUUGCUCACAGUCUUGCUAAGUUGCUAAGGCUGGCUUCAAACAUGUGAUCCUCCUGUCUCAGCCUCCUGAGCUGCUGGGAUUGCAGGUGGGCACCACUGGUGGGCCUCUCGAUGGGUGGCCUCAGCAAUCUCCUUCUCUUCUCCCCUUUUUUCCCCUCCAGCAUGGGGAAGCCAGGUUUCCUGCUCGGCCUCGCAGGGUGGUGGGUAUAGGGCUUGCUGGGACCUGGCGAUGGGUCAAGGUGAGCUGCCUGAUGGCCUCCCUGUGUGCGUUUCCCUCCAGGUAUGAGGUCUGUCCCAGGUGAAUGUGAGCCCAGGCCAGGCACAGUGCUGUUGGGCUGUUGGAUUCUUUUAAAAAUUGCACUUUAAAAAAUUGGGCCCCAAAGGGUGGGCCGGGGCUGUUUUUCCUCCCACUUUGAGCUGGUUUUAAUGAACCAGUUGCUUUGUUUGAAAGGCAUUUAUUUAGACAACAGAUAUAUAGAUGUAACUGGAUAAAUAAAAAAAGUGAAAUCGAGAUUGGAAGCAGUGGUUAAAGUAUAAACACACAGGGGUCACUCCCUCGGACUGUGUCCCCCGGGCAGAACAAUGGCUCAGAAAUCACACAUGGAAAUGACUCUGCCCUCGCUCCCUCAAGCAGCUCUGAACCAAGAGGCCCCAUGCAGGAAACUGAAUUCGGGUUCCGCAGAGCACUGUGCGGCUCCUGUGCACCAGCCCCUGUGCCUCCGGGGACAUCCUCUCUCCCCUCUGGCCCCGCCUUGCCCUCCCACAGUGCCAGAGGCUGCAGGGUCUAGCCCCCGUGCUUGGCCCAGCGCAGGUGGGUAUUCACCUCCCCCAGAGCAGGGUACACGGCAGCCCACCACUCACUGGCCCACUAUGGGAAGAAGACAGAGAUACAAGGAGGUCGCGGGAUGCCCUUGAGCACAUGCAGGUGCCCAGCUCACCAGGCCCGCUGAGACCCCGCUGCCCCAGGAGCCUCCAUCUCACCUGUUCACACACCGUCAUGAAGUCCACAAUCCCACAAAAUCCUGCGUGUGACAUCCCCCCUCUUUAAUGGCAAAUGUUUUGGAAUGUCCAUAGAUAAGAAAAUGGACGGCGUGGAGGAAAGAUUUCAUGGCUGGUCUUUGAUUUCACCUCCGGAUGUCAGAGUACUCAGACUGUUCGUCCUCCCACUCGCUGCUUCCAGAAGGUCCCUGGGUCCCCUGGCUCCCCGCUCGGCCCCGGGCCUGGGCAUGUGGGUGGCUCCUGCUGCCUCGCUCGCCCCUGGAGCCUCUGACAGCCUCCCUGCUGCUGGGCUCUGAGAAGUGCAGGCUGGCUUCCCCGCGGUGGAUCCUGGAGAGCCUGGCUCUGUCCCCUUGGAGCUGGUGCUCAGGGGAUGCCGUGGGGGGCCUCUGGAUGGCUGAGGUGCAGAAACUCAGGAUGGAGCACAGCCCUCCCAAGUUCUGUUCACACUGGGCCUGGACACUGUGGGUGACAGCCUCCUUCACCUCCUCCCCGCAGGUAAGCAGCAGGUUCACCAGGUCCACGUAGGGUCUGGAGGUGGAGAGCAGAGAGAGACACUGAGGAUGGACGGAGUCCCAAAGAGGCUCUGAGAGCUGUGAUCAGGUCAGGAAAGGGGAGGGGCCAGUACUGGAGGCCCUUCCUGGAACCACUUGGAGCCCCUCUAUGGAGCACCAGCCUCUGGGUCUUUCCUGGGCAGCCCUGUGGACCAGGCUCCAUGCAGGCAAGGACUCUCACCCCUGAGUCGCUGUGGAGAGGGAGCCCAAGCAGGACAAAGGGCAGCGACAAUGGCAGGUGCUUGGGAUAAAAGCUGAGGGCCCAGGCACUGGAAUAAAGGCAGACUGCAGGAGGGGGGCUGAUGACUGAUGCCAGAACCUGGGGUCAGUGCAACAGCCUUGGGCAAGCGGGGAGGGCCUCAGUCAGCAGAGGAGGAGCCACGAAGUUCAGGGUUCAGAGAGGGGCUCUGAUGGCUUCCAAGAGCCCCAGCAUUGUGGCGACAAUGAGGCCAACUGCUUUGCACCAGGGACCUUCCUCUAGGGCCCCCUCCCGAAAGUCCUCCCCACACCUGUCUGCUGCUGGCUUAGGCUCAUGAGGAAGGGUGUUCUCAGGGGUUACUGGGUGCACUGCCCUCUGCACCAGGAAGACUGUGGACUGGGUGGUGGGGCUUGGGGAAGACACCUGCCUGCAGCAUCAUUUCCCAUGCAGCUGUCCCUCUGCGUCACAGGUGUAGGGGUGUGUGUAUGUGAUCUGACCAUCCUCAUUCUUUCUGUCUGGGCUUCCCCAGGAUUGGGGUGAGGGCCAGUGGUCAGGCCUCCUGGUUUGGAAGGAGCCACAGCCUGUUGCUUGGCUCACUCUGGAUGCCCUUCAGGGAGACUGCUCCCCCAGGGCUGAGGGUGCAUGCAGACGGCGGGGCAGGCCUGCCUUGACGUGCAUGGGCCCAGCUGCUCAGCCUGUCCUACUCUCGCUGGCCUCUCAGAACUCCCCAGGUGGGGUGGCUAUGGAAUGCUUCAUCGGGGUGAACCCCUUCCUUCCUUCCUGGUGCUGGGGAUUGAACCCAGGGCCUCAUGUAUGCCUGGCAAGGGCUCCACCAUGCGGUAGGCCCACAGCCCACUGACCAACAUUUUUUUUUUAAUAUUUAUUUUUUAGUUGUAGUUGAACACAAUACCUUUGUUUUAUUUAUUUACUUUUUAUGGGGUGCUAAGGAUUGAACCCAGGGCCUUGCCCACGCUAGGAGAGUGUUCUACUGCUGAGCCACAACCCCAGCCCCACUGACCAACAUUUUGAAGUAGCCCUUAGCUAGCCAAGGUCCUGGAUGCAUCUGAUCAUGAGCAUCACAGCCUCGGAUGUCUCCUUGACCAGGGAAGUUACUGGGAACAUGGGGUGGUUAUAACAAGCCUGGCCUGGAGGGCUGUGGAAGAGCCUGUGAUCUUUCUGUGCAACGCACUGUGGCUGUCUUAAGACGUGUGCGGUGUUGACUGCUGCUUGAUUAAUUAGUCCUCCAGUUGUGAUUGGGUAAACUGUCCUCGCUUUGUGGAUAUCGACUGAUAAGAGGGAGAAGGUGGCUAAGAGGGCAGGAAGGCCUCGGGCCGGCUGAUAGCAGAGAGGAGUGUUCUGGCUGGUGGAGUUCAAGUUGCCUUCUAUGUUCUCCUGGAUGCCGUUGGCAUCAUCUGUGCCUGGCUGCUGGGCACUUCCAGUGCCAGUGCCAGCAAGACACUGCCUCCUUGGCUACCUCGUGGAAGGCCUGCAUGCGGCAGAAAGCGCUCAAUGCAUGUUUGACUCCUCUGCCUUGAAAAGUGGCUCUGGUUCCUCAAGUUCACUAAGUAUCUCUGCUAAAGCAGCCACAGGGUCCUAGCACCUGUCACCCUGGGCCCAGGUGCACAUAGCAGGGGCUGUGUCUGUCUUUGGGGUUUAGGUGGAUUCCCUCCCUCAGGCUUCUUUGCCCCAAGCUGGGGGAGGCUGUCUUGGGAAUGUGCAGCCUGCCCCGGCCUCCCUCCCUGGUGUGCUCUAUCUGCCAGAGACUUGCCUGCAGAACCCCAAGGAGGACAUGGACCCCAGGAGGCAGGUCUAGCCCGCGCUCUCCUCAGCCCUUGGCUCUCUCCCGGGAGGCUGUGGCCGAGCGGAGGGGUGUGUGUGCUGAAGUGAGUUCAUCUAAGCCUUUGGAGCUGGCACAGUGCCUUCUCAGGCUGUAGGACAAGCCGUGUCUAAUGACAAAGCCCAGCUCUCUUGACUGGGUGUCAGCAAGGCUAACAGUCUAAAAAAAAUACUUGGAGGGGGAUGUGCCGGGAGGCUCUGAACCAUCACUGGCUGCCAGCACCCAGUGACAGGCUGUGUGCAGGCCAGAGCAGGCUGCCCGCAGCUAGGGGGAGGCAGAUGACCAGGAGAAAGAUGGGCGGGAGGAGGAGGCAGGGAGCAGAGGGCCCUGGGAGUUGGAAAUGGCUGCUCUAACUGCAAUGUGCUUGUUUUGGGAUCAAUAGGGCUGGGGCGAGGAGGAGUGCUGAGAAUUCUAGGGUGACUGUAUGUCCUCGCUAAUCAAAUACAGUUCUCAUUCUCAUUUGUGACCAAUGCCACACAAUUUGUAAGGGCCUUCUUGAAUCAGUUAAGAUGGCAAAAAAAAUAAAAAGCUAAAAAUCUCAGGCAAUUGAGCUUGCUGUGUAGCGAGGCACUGUGCAGCUGGGCUUCAUGAGGGCUACUGAUGGGGGCUUUGGGGGAGCUGGUAUUUGGAGGGACUCACUGCCCAGAGGGGCUGGCCUAGCCAGAAGCAAGAGGACCUGUGUGUGACCACAUAGCCACUCCUGAUCAGAGCAGGCCUUCUGCUUUUCUAGAGCAGGCCAAAUGGGCAAAGGCCUGAGGGGUAACACGUGCCAGGUCGCCAUGAGGAGACACUAGACAGCCACUGAGCUCCUUCCGUUUCAGGGGGACAGCAUGCAAAACCCUCAAAACUUCACUCCCCCAAAGAAGACACUCAACAACACAUUGUAGACUUAUAAACCUGCACCCCGGGCCCAUAGUCAACAAGCUGUCUCAUGGGUGACAGUGGGGGAUGGGCUGGGGCAAAUGGACUUAUGGAGUUUCUCAGCCAUGGGGCGUGCAUCUUUUUCAGGGUACCUGGAGGGAAAGGGGUUUCACAGAGCUCACUGAGUGAGACAGGGGGAUUGGUUUGAGAAAAGCAAAGAACUGUACUAUAUUUGGUGACCAUGAGGCCUCUGCAGGUAUAGUGAGGAGAGGACAGGCCAGGAACAAGGAGGUUGGGUUCUGACAGCUGGCUAGUUCCUGACAACUGGCUUCAGGUACCUAUGCCCUCUGCAUCUGUUGACACAACCAGCCACGAAGCAAAAAUAUUUGGAAAACAAAAUGUAUCUGUACUGAACUUGUGCGGACUAUUUUUUUCCCCUAGACAUUAUCUCCUGACCAAUACAGGCCAACAACAAUUUCCGUAGCAUUUACGUUACAUUCGGUAUUAUAAGUCCUCUAGAGAUGAUUAAUGCAUACAGGUUGGGAUUGAAAUGAGAAAACUUGCUCUGUGUGUUUACGAAUAUGUCAAAUGAACCCCACUAUUACGUGUAACUGCAAUGCACUAGCAAUUUUGAAAAUUAAAAACUAACAAAUAAAUAAAUGUGUGCAGGUUAUAUGCAAAAGCUAUGUCAUUUUAUAUAAGGGUCUUGAGCACCUAUGGCUUUGUGUAUCUGAGGAGGACGCUCCAGGCCCUCAGGGAUGACUGCACACCACCAAUCCCCACAUUGAAGAGGAGGACUCAAACCCCGGAGUGAGGUUCAGCCUUCACUAUCCUCUUCUAUAAAACGGGACAGUAAUUUCUAUCUUGUAGCAUGAUUGGGAAAGACAGAUGUGUUAAUUCACACAAAGACCCUGGCCAAAAACCUGGAACAUUAGGAAAAAAGGAUGGUUAUCAUUGUUGUUGAUGCUGUUAUUACUAUUGCUCUCUUAGACGUAUUUGGAAGAAUGAAACUGUUGUAUGAGGUGUUGGUGUGAUUCAAGGAAAAGGCAAUGUACUCUCGCUUUUGGCCAGAGCUGCCCGCAUCCAUGCCCCACACACCUUAUGAUCCAGAGGCUGUUGCAAGAUACCUGCAACCUUAUAACCAAGUGGGUAGUGACGGCAGAGGGUUGUUGUCCUCCAUGACUGAGGUGAUACUGGGGGUGAGGGUGGGGUAGCCUGUUUAGUGACAUAGCUGGGAGCAGGUCAUGGCAUGAACUGAGGAACAAGAGUUCAUGUACUGACUUGGCACCAUGCCACCCUGUGGGAAGAACAAGGGUGCCCUCAAACUGUCAGUGAUAUGCCCUGGACUGUUAGCUGGUGGCUUCCUUUCUGUUCUGAGGAAGGAGCCAUUGGCUCGUCCCUCAUAUUAGGAACAACUGUGUACCCACUUGCUUUUACGUUUCUGCAAAAAUUAGGAUCUGAAAGCUGGAACCAUUUUUAAAGAAUGAGGAGUCUCUGGGCUUAUCUGUGAAUUGCAAGUCUUCCAAGAAGGACUGUCACAUUUUCCUGGUGUGGCAUGCCAAUACUUAGCAGAUCCGUUUUUGAUGUUUGUUUUGCAUUUUCUCUGGUAGGGGCUUUUCAAAGAAAGGAGAGCCUUGGGGUCAGGGGAAGCACUGCUCUCGGUUAAGCUGCCUGGUCCCCAGACCCAGUUUUGCCUUCACCCCAGUCUUCUCAUCUGUAAAAAGCCAGUCAAAGCAUCCAAGUCUUGGAGCUGCUGCGAGGGUCAGGUGAGAGGUUCAGACACAGCACUCAGCACAGUGCCGGGUCCAACAGAUGUCUCUGCGCUCAGCUGCCCACAAGGACAACCCUGCAGCUAUUUGGGAUAUUCAGAGACUUCCUUGGCUAAGGGGAAGAUGAGAAUUUCUGAUUUUAAACAUUUGAGUAACAGUAAUAUUGUUUCUGGGGCCCAGGAUUUGGAAAGUGGUGAUGAAAAAAAAAUCUCAUUUUUUUUUUGAAAGCCAGCAGGACAGGAGCUCCUGGGGGACAGCUUUUGGGAAUGCAGCCCCGGACAGCAGGCCCUCAGGCUGGACGCCAUCGCGGCCGCCCUCCUGGGCCCUGCGGGCAGUACUCACUCGUGCAGCAGCAGGUCCUUGAAGUGGAUCAUCUCCACCAUCACCCGGAUGUUCUCCUGCGCCGCGGCGCACAGCCCGUGCCUGAGGUAGCAUUCCCGCUGCAGCUGGGACACCAUUUCCUUAAUGGCCGGGCACUUCCGGCUUAUGCAGCCGAACCUGUGCCGCAGAGCGUGGGCCUUGCACUUCAAGGCAUCUUUGAUGAACGACUUGCCCUGAGAGCAGAGGGGAGGGGAGAGGAGAGGGCAGAAGGCCAGGCGUUAGCGCCUGCACUGAUCUUUCUGGGGCUGUCACACAGGACUUUUAGGACAACAAAUCCCAGGCCCUGUCCCAGACUCAUGUCCUUUCCCAGGUGACGGGGCAUAUCGGAGGUACAUCCAGAGUGACAGGACACCUCCGGCACCGCGCCAGAAAGGAUGUUAGUGUUGUGCACUAACAAAUCUGCCUCCUUCCUCCCCAGCUGCGCCUUUCGUUUCCCUUGAACUGGGGCUUCCGCGGCUGUCAGGGCAGCUCAGGGCUGGCGGCUGGGUGGCAGCUUUUCUGGAACACCCGGGGAACUGGGCCAUGACUCCUUUGUGGUUCUCAGCAAGGGUUCUUCCCGAGUGGAAGGUGCCCGCUGGCCGCCGAGCUGCACCUUCUUCCAUUCCAGGAGCCUCACCAAGAUGGAGGCCGCGGGCCUCCCUUCCUGCCUCAGGGCCUCUGGCUCCACUCGGGCCUCCUCUUAUCCUUCAAGCAGGAGCGUUCUUUACCCUUCCAAAAAAUGACUCUACUCCUUUAAACUGUUAGGAUUUUUGCCACUAAAAGGCCGCCUGGCACCCGGCCUGGCAGCAUCUGAGCCGAGUGGCCCUCCCCCACGCUCCUGCCUCAAGAGGCCCACAUACAUCUGGCCUGCAGCUCUCCUCCCUGGCAACCCCAUUAGGGCUGCGCUUAUCCUAGAAAGGAGCCAGCUGUUGGGGUUGUGGAGGGAGCUCGGCCCUGGCUUCCUUAUCAGUGUCCCGGGCAGGGGGCACUUGGGUGCCCACCUAGGAUUCCCGGCAGCCUCCUUCCUUACUCUAGAAACAAGCUGUGGUCCUAGAGGCCACCCUGGGUUUUAGACCCGGGAAGCCACUUGAGACACAGUCAAUGGUUCAGGUUGGACACGGAAAGCCAGCCAGCACAUUUAUUUUGGUUCUCUCUUUAGAAGCAACUGAAAUGCGUCCAGAGAGCAUCUGAGGGCUGAAAACCCACCCUGUGGCCCCUUCUCCUGCAGCUCUCCAGUAGGAGCCAGACGGGACAGAGAGCUUAACUAGUUCUGUGCUGGGAACUGACUGGUGGGGAUAUCUCUAACUCGAGGACACGAGGACAUGCUCCUGUUGGUUGAGGAAAAAAGGGAGAUUAAUUCACUCCAGGGCCAGAGCGACCUGUUCUGGUCUUCUUCCCUGACAUCCUGUGGGAUUGCCCUUCCGCACACAUCUUUCCUCCGGAUUUCCUAUUACGCUUCCUAAUUCCAGUUAAUCCAGAAGGGGGAUACGUUAUUAGGGAGCCUCGAGUUCAAAGUUGUGCUCUUUCCUCCCUGGUCUGUUUCCCCUGUUGCCAGCUCACAUCCUCUGUGGUUAGACUGCGGGCCUGCUGCCUCCCGGCUGGCUCCCAGGCCCAGCCCCUGUCAGGCCCUCCAGGAUGUCAGGCUUGCUGACGGCCCAUGUGCAUGAAUCACACCUCCACUGUGGCCUCUUCAGGCGCUGUCACUGUGCCCCAGAGAAAUGGGAGAGGAAGUUUAUGAUACACAGUAACACGGCGUCUCAACAGGGCACCUGGGACCAGGGAGAAAAUGAAGUGGGGGGGCCUAGUGCCUCGUGCAUAGGAGCACGCGUUUAUUUGGGUUGUAGACAUUGGAGUCGUAGGUGCUUGUUAGGUCCUUGCCCUGAGUGGCAACUUAGCUUGAACCUGGGACCCCAGAAUAUCUCAGUUGGGUCAGAUCCUAGCCAUAUUUAUUAUAUAGAACAAGAGAAAAACACAGCGUUUCAUUCAUGGUUUUGACUUUUCAGGUUGGGAAAAAAGAGCCUGCUACUUAGAAGGAAUAAAUAUCUGUUCUUUUGGAGGCUUUGAGGAGUCCAGUUUGCCUGCCCCUCCCCCACCCCACCUAUUGGGUAGAAAAAGCUUUUGGAAUGUAAUACUGGGGGUCUCUGCCCCUGCCCCUUUAGCCUACUGUCCCUCAUGCAAUGGCUUUGGGGACUAGGUUCUGGGUGAACAGAAACGAUGUGUCCUCUCUUCCAAGGUGUCCAUCAUUUCCUAUGAUUCUGGUAUGCAGGCUCACUUUGCCUGUGUAGACACAGCUUAAGAGUGUGGAAGGAUUCACCUACAUAAAGACAGCAGGACAUCAGUGCCCUGGGGAGACCCUGGCAUCCCGCUCACACCUGGAAUGUCUCUUGCAAGCCCUGAAAUUAACACCAAGAACAGCUAAGGAAACCUGUUAAGGAGUUAAGGAGUCUGUUAAGGACUUUUCCCAGCAAACAUUUCUAUCGCACUGUGCUAACCUGAAACAUGCUUCACACUCUGUGUGGUCUUUACCUGGGCAUCAAAUUUUCCAGCGUUGUGCAGAAAAGUCAUGCAAAUCCCAUGUAAGCCCCGAAUCUCACAAGAGUUGUUCUCGAAACAUUCAAACACGCCACACCCCACAUCGCCAGCGUUGACCAAACAGUGUUGGAUCUCCGCUAAAAUGAAAAUUACAAAUAUAUACACAACUCAGCCAUGCUGGGGAACAUUGACAGGGCAGCUGAAGGAAAAGUCAGUGAGGACCAGAGGAAAAUGUAAGGGGGGAAAAAAAGUCAGUGAUAACCAUAUCAGAACUGAAGAGCAGGGAAACCAAAUUUCAUCACUAAUACCACUUACAGAAAAUGUGAUAUUUGUAAAUAUUUGUAAACAUUAGCCAAAAAUUAUAAAAAUCAGAAUCAGAAA